Non-coding RNA from Pelobates cultripes (western spadefoot toad), 413 nucleotides. NCBI's taxonomy places the organism in Eukaryota, Metazoa, Chordata, Amphibia, Anura, Pelobatidae. The record is from the annotation of a GenBank genome assembly.
GCAAGAUCUAGGGAGUGGACCUAAAUUAAGGGUUUAACCCUAAAGUCUUCAGUCCAGUGCCUGUCACAUCUGCCUAGCUGCUGCAGGCCUCAGUUUAUCAGCUGCUCUCCGUUCACAAAACUGCAAUUAUUUAUAUGGUGCUAACAUUCUGCAGCAAUGUAGAAUUAUUAAUAAAGACAAUACUUUAAUUCUAACACACAACAUACAGGAACUGUAGAAGAGGGCCAUGCCCAAACUAAUUUACAAUCUAAAAUGGUUUAACCCUAGAAGGUAAGCUGGAGUCUGGGAUCUCCCUGCACUAUUCAAAUUAAUCAAUUACAGAAGGCAGUAGUUAUGGAGGUGAGACAGGACUCAAAAGUAGGGUCUUGUAAGUUGUGAGAUACAAAAGUCAAAGCUUAAUAUGUAAGAAAAAU